This is a long non-coding RNA of Ficedula albicollis (Collared flycatcher), 322 nucleotides long. RefSeq lists it as uncharacterized. The transcript has 3 exons. NCBI's taxonomy places the organism in Eukaryota, Metazoa, Chordata, Aves, Passeriformes, Muscicapidae. The record is from RefSeq and is a predicted model, not a curated record.
GUCUCUGUGCUAGAUGAGAGCCUGUGGGGAGUUCAGGGAGUGCAGGUCUGGGCCGUGUAUCACCCUGUCACCGGGACCAAGCUGGGAGAGUGGGUACAGAGACAUGAGCUUUCAAUACCUGCAAAUUUCCAUCUGGCUUGUUAGGAGCACUUCUCAUGAAGGGGAUUAUGAAAAGUUGGAGAUGCUACAGUGUUUCAGGCUCAUUUGACUGUGGUGGCUGAGCUGAACCACUUCUGACUUGCCCUCCUGAAGGUGAACGGAGGACAAGGCUGUGCGGUGGGGCUGGUGACAACUCGGUUUUAACCUCUGCUGCAGCAGACUG